RNAcentral lists this long non-coding RNA (2108 nucleotides) under Homo sapiens (human). RNAcentral describes it as "HSALNT0103207". The record is from RNAcentral. Lineage: Eukaryota; Metazoa; Chordata; Mammalia; Primates; Hominidae.
UUCCGAUCGGACACUUCCGGUGGAAGGACUGAGCGGCGCUACACUUCAAGAAUUCCGUCCACAGGGACUUGUGAGUCUGCGCAGAAGGCGGGAUGCCUUUGGACUACAAUUCCAAGAAUCCUUCCUGGGUCUCUUCGGGCGCAGACUUUUCGCCAAAGUCCUGAAGAUCUCAGGGCUUGAAGGAGGGGGCAUCUUUUUUCUCCAUUGUAGUAGUGUGUCUUGCUAAAUAACAGAAGGGACUCCUGAAAAGAAAAUGACGUUGGCCGGGCGCGGUGGCUCACGCCUGCAGUCCCAGCACUUUGGGAGGCCGAGACGGGCGGAUCACGAGAAGGGUGCGUCUCACGGAUGGAGCAAUGGCGAGAGCACACCUGAACAAGGGAGGGGAAGGGGUUCUUAUCCCUGACGCAGGUAGUCCCUAGUGCUGUGUCGUUCCCCUACUGGCUAGGGUUGGACCGCACAGUCUAAGUUAAUUCCGAUUGGCUAUUUUAAAGAGAGCAGGGGUAUGAGCCGGAGUGGUAGGGUGAGCAGUUUCAGUGGGAAGGACGGUUACGGAACAGGUGACUAAAGGUGGUGAAAUUGAAGCCCACGCAGCAGGGUUGCAACUGAAACUUCAUCUCCUCUGCAAAACCUUCCUGCAUUCCCAGACAACUUUUCUUCUGAGGCCUUGUUUGAUUCAUCCCCUUACCCCAGUGGAACUCAGAUAUUCAAAAUGGUAUUAAUUAAAACCACUGGCUGUCAUUGGUCCAUGCAUGGCCUUAAAGUGUGAACAUUUUUUAAUCCAUUACCUAGUCUAUAAGAACUGUAGAUUGACAACAACUUAGAUUUAAUACUACUCUUUUUCUAGUCCCUCUCUAUACUACCUCUCAUCCGAGGAAACACUAUCACAAAUUUUGUAUUUGUUGUUCCCUUGCUUUUUAACAAGAUGAUUCUAUUAGAUAUGUACUGUUUUGUCCCCCAAAAGUGGUGGCAGGGGAGUUCACACAAGGGAGUGCCCAAAACCGUCCUAGUUGGGGCUGGUUGGGAUUCCAAAGAAAGGAGCACUAUGUGCCAAGGUGAUCUGUCCAAAGCAUUUAUUAAGGGAACUUACAUAGUGUUGCAGGAAUCCUCCCCAUGGGUGGUGAGAGAAAAGGGACAUUCUACCUAGAUAUGUCUGCAGUGAGGGGGUCAGGGUAUGGAGUUUAUAUAAGGGUUUAAAGAAUUUGGCUCAGGGCCAGAGCUAGUUUCUUUCACUGUUUUCAGUGACAACUUAGAUACCUUUAUCAGUGCCUGGGAAUGUUCAAGACCCAAGUUUGGGUUCAAGCAUGCUGGGAAAAAAUCUGCAGCUGGCUAGGUCACAGAGAGGUCAAGGCACUCUGAUUUUCAGUCACAGAAUAGUCAAGGCUCUGUGAUUUCCAGUCAGAGAUCCUGCAAUCCAUUUUCCUGACUGGCUCUUACAAUCUCACAUGCCCAUCUCUUCCUAUAUGUUCCCUGAGCUGGUCAGAAAGGGUGGGAUCAUCGGCAAUUUCUUUCCCCUGGCUUUAUGAAACACUGCAAACAAAACCUACACUAACAGUAAAUACAAGUGCACCUGACAAAAUCUAAAAUCACAUUUUCCAAAAGGCUUCCUAGCAGAGCUUUCCACCAAGGACCCCAUCCUGGAAAACAUGACUUUGUGUAGACCACCAGGCAUACCCUAUGUGGUCAGUAAGCUGUAAUUGCUUUCGUGAGUGAAGGACGGAUUGAUUAACUUCAGCUUCUUUGUCUAGAAUAUACACACAAUGUUCACUUUUGUAAAGGGCACAGGUUCCCCCUUGCACAGAUGUCAGCAUCUCUAGGGCCAUUUGGUUUUGUAGACCACUUUUUUCACUGCAGCUGUUUCAAUGUUCAAGGCCUCCAUACCAUGUUUGGUGUUGUUCAAAGCUGUGGAGACAAAUCUCUGAAGGGCUUCCAGCUUCUACACAGUAUCAGAAGAACCUCCUGGAGGCACAAAUAUAGUCAAUAAGUAAUCCCACCAAGAAAAAACAGGUCUACUCCACUGACCUCUCCAGAUGGACUCAUUGAGGGAUACAGGAAUGGUGCCAGAGAUUCUGGAGUCAUCCAAGCCACCCCAGGGGAAGCCAGGGCUGGAG